This 317-nucleotide long non-coding RNA is filed under the name Physcomitrium patens. RNAcentral describes it as "long non-coding RNA (PPAT_LNC006859)". Lineage: Eukaryota; Viridiplantae; Streptophyta; Bryopsida; Funariales; Funariaceae. The record is from RNAcentral.
AACACAUCUCUUGGAGCUCUAGCUCACCUCUCUAGUGUUGUUCUUGUAUUCAUCUGAUUAAUCUAGUUCUUGCCAGUUCUUCUUGAACUUCUUGUUAGAUCUCAAGUCUGUGUCCGUGACACUAAUCCACAACCAUUUUAUUUGUAUACUAAGAUUUUGUAAUAUUAUUUAAAAGAGAUAAAGAAUUUUUGUAAAAAAGCUAAAGAUCAAUCUUUUGGUUGUUCUAAGAUAAGACAAGUCUUAAGUUUGAAUAUAAUAAGGGUGUCAUGUAGAUAGGCACCCUUAAUGGAUAUUCAAGUAAGUCUUAAAUCUUUUGG